CUCCGGGAUCACAUGGGCGGAGGCAGGUCCUGGAGCCCCGGGCGGGCUCUCCCCAGAGUCGGGCAGACGGCGGCAGCGGCGGCAGCGGGAGCGGCGGUGUCUCCACACCUUCCCUCCUUCCCCUCCCUUCCCUACCGGGCCUGGCCUCCCAGCCCGACGAGUGAGAGCGAGCCAGAUAUGGCCCUAACAGUGGAUGUGGUGGGGCCAGGGCCCUGGGGCUUCCGGAUCACUGGGGGCAGGGAUUUCCACACGCCUAUCAUGGUGACCAAGGUAACUGAGAGGAGCAAGGCUGAGGCUGCUGACCUCCGGCCUGGAGACAUUAUUGUGGCCAUCAACGGGGAGAGUGCUGAGGGUAUGCUUCAUGCUGAGGCCCAGAGCAAGAUCCGCCAGAGUCCCUCACCCCUGAGGCUGCAGCUAGACCGGUCUCGGGCUGCUUCCCCCCAGCAGACCAAUGGGGAAAGCUCUGUGGAAGGGCUGGCGACUCGCUUCCAGGGCUCCGUGAGGACGCACACUGACAGCCAGUCCUCCCUGAGGUCUUCCUGCUCCAGCCCAGUCUUUUCCAGCCCCCAGCCCGGCAGCCCGUUCUCUGCCCUGCCCCCCACCAGCCCGCAGGCCCUCCCUGGAGAGACUGUUGUCAGCCGCAGUUUCCAGAGCCUGGCACAUUCCCCGGGAUUGGCUGCUGCUGACCGCUUUUCCUACGGGGGCCACCCCAGAAGUCGACCGGCCAGCCUCACCCGCGCCGCGGCUGGUGACUCGGCUGUGCUGGUGCUGCCGCCUUCCCCGGGUCCCCACUCCUCCAGUCCCAGACUCAGAAUGCCUUCCCUUGGACACUCUUUCCCUGCCUUCUUGCUGGUCCUCAUACCCGGGAAGGAACCCUCACUCCUGGCCGCUCCUGUCCCUGCAGUGUGGACUCAGAGGGGGGAAGCCGCCUUCUGGAGGAGGAUUCAGAAGUCUACAAGAUGCUGCAGGAAAAUCGUGAGGGGCGGGUGGCCCCCCGACAGUCCAGCUCCUUUCGGCUCUUGCAGGAGGCUCUGGAGGCUGAAGAGAGAGGUGGCACACCUGCCUUCCUGCCCAGCUCGCUGAGCCCCCAGUCCUCCCUGCCCACCUCCAGGGCCCUGGCCACCCCGCCCAAGCUCCACACGUGUGAGAAGUGCAGCACCAGCAUUGUGAACCAGGCUGUGCGCAUCCAGGAGGGGCGGUACCGCCACCCAGGCUGCUACACCUGUGCGGACUGUGGGCUGAACCUGAAGAUGCGUGGGCACUUUUGGGUCGGAGACGAGCUGUACUGCGAGAAGCAUGCCCGUCAGCGCUACUCCUCGCCCCCCGCCCUCAGCUCCCGUGCCUGAGUACCCGGCUAGGUUCUCAACCUGCCCUAGACCGCGUAGGCACCUGUGCACCAAUAGCAAGCUGGCAUGGAAGGGUGGUGGUUGGUGGUGGGGCCCCUGCCUCCAGGCUGGGUGAGGCUAGAGCCUGCGACCUGUGAUGGGCUGUGGAUGAGGACAGCCUCACCAUCCCAGGCCUCUGCUAGAUACUCACUUCCUCCUGUAGAACAGGCUGUGCACCAAAGUGUGAGGUGGGCACUGCAUUGGAUAUCUUUGUGCAACAGGGAUUAAGCAGGUUGGGAUACAGAGAUAAAUAUGUAGAAAGAGAGGGAUAGGUCAGAGGUUAAAGGUAUUCACUCUGUAAAGUUUUCAGCAUAUGAACUCUAUAAAUAUACAUAUAUGGAUGAAACAAA
Molecule: RNA transcript, 1735 nt
Organism: Lynx canadensis (Canada lynx)
Lineage: Eukaryota; Metazoa; Chordata; Mammalia; Carnivora; Felidae
Gene: PDLIM2
Gene name: PDZ and LIM domain 2
Exons: 10
Source: RefSeq, a predicted model, not a curated record